This 498-nucleotide ribosomal RNA is filed under the name uncultured bacterium. Its description in RNAcentral is "partial 16S ribosomal RNA". It matches the Rfam family "Bacterial small subunit ribosomal RNA", at positions 28 to 523 of the family's 1533-position model. The record is from RNAcentral.
GAUGAACGCUAGCUACAGGCUUAACACAUGCAAGUCGAGGGGUAGCAGGGUAGCAAUACCGCUGACGACCGGCGCACGGGUGAGUAACACGUAUCCAACCUUCCCAUAACUCGGGGAUAGCCUUUCGAAAGAAAGAUUAAUACCCGAUAGUACUUUUUCAAGGCAUCUUGAGAAAGUUAAAGAUUUAUUGGUUAUGGAUGGGGAUGCGUUCCAUUAGAUAGUUGGUGAGGUAACGGCUCACCAAGUCUUCGAUGGAUAGGGGUUCUGAGAGGGAGGUCCCCCACAUUGGUACUGAGACACGGACCAAACUCCUACGGGAGGCAGCAGUGAGGAAUAUUGGUCAAUGGGCGAGAGCCUGAACCAGCCAAGUAGCGUGAAGGAUGAAGGUCCUAUGGAUUGUGAACUUCUUUUAUAGUAGAAUAAAGUGACCUACGUGUAGGUUUUUGUAUGUAUACUAUGAAUAAGGAUCGGCUAACUCCGUGCCAGCCGCCGCGGUAA